CACCCGUCGAAAGUAAUUUAGCUUGCCAACCAUCAAUCCUUCUUUGGGUCUUCUCGAUUAAAUCUCUCCAAACCUCCUUAUGCAGUGUCUUAUUGCACAAUGGUAAACCUAAAUAUCUGGUCGGUAACACCCCAACCUUGCAUCCUAGACAUAAAGCUAGUCUACUAUCCUUCCCCACUGUACUUCCCAUAUAUAAGAGUUCAGUUUUAUCUCUAUUUAUCUUGACUCCAGAGACCCACUCAAAUAGGCUCCACAUAAAUUCGAUGUUCUUCAAGUACUAUUUUUUAGCCUCAGAAAAAAAGGUGUCAUCCGCAUAUUGGAUC
Molecule: long non-coding RNA, 323 nt
Filed under: Ananas comosus (pineapple)
Lineage: Eukaryota; Viridiplantae; Streptophyta; Magnoliopsida; Poales; Bromeliaceae
Description: long non-coding RNA (ACOM_LNC022690)
Source: RNAcentral